GACGAACGCUGGCGGCGUGCUUAACACAUGCAAGUCGAACGGAAAGGCCCUGCUUUUGUGGGGUGCUCGAGUGGCGAACGGGUGAGUAACACGUGAGUAACCUGCCCUUGACUUUGGGAUAACUUCAGGAAACUGGGGCUAAUACCGGAUAGGAGCUCCUGCUGCAUGGUGGGGGUUGGAAAGUUUCGGCGGUUGGGGAUGGACUCGCGGCUUAUCAGCUUGUUGGUGGGGUAGUGGCUUACCAAGGCUUUGACGGGUAGCCGGCCUGAGAGGGUGACCGGCCACAGUGGGAUGGGGAUACGGCCAACACUCCCGCGGGAGGGAGGAGGGGGAAAUUUUCCCAAAAGGGCGGAAGCCGUGUGCAGCAACGCCGGGUGGGGGAAGACGGCCUUCGGGUUGGAAACCGCUUUCGCCUGUGCCGAAGCGUGAGGAAGGUAAAUGGGAAAAAAAGCACCGGUAAAUUCGGG
Molecule: ribosomal RNA, 467 nt
Filed under: uncultured bacterium
Lineage: Bacteria
Description: partial 16S ribosomal RNA
Rfam family: Bacterial small subunit ribosomal RNA
Source: RNAcentral